AUGGGCCGCCGCGGAGGGCUCCUCUUCCUCCUGCUGCGGCUGCUCCUGCUCCUCCCCGCCGCCGCCUCCGCGCUCCACGCAAACAUACAGCCUAGUCCAUCGCCACAUCCAUCAAAUCCCCCUGAAGCAAGAGUGUUUGGACCUCGAAUUUCCCCGGCAUUUUCUCCUGCGGAACUGUCUCCAAGAUCUCCUGGCAUCGCUGUGCAUUCACACAAACACCACAGACGCCGACACCAUGCCCCUCCGCCAUCCCUAUCUCUCCCACCUGAAGCAGGUUGCUCUAGCACUGUUUGUACUGAGCCAUUGAGUUCAACACCGAUCGGUUCCCCCUGUGGCUGUGUGCUGCCCCUUAGUGUUAUUGUUGACAUUGCUGUAGCUCCAUAUUUACUAUUCAUGCACACAGCAGAAUUGGAAGUUGAAGUUGCAGCUGGCACAUUUCUUAAACAGAGUCAAGUGAAGAUUAUGGCUGCUAUUCCAAGUGUCCAAGAUGACCAGAAGACAAGAGUCACCUUUUAUUUGGUGCCACUAAGAGAACAUUUUGAUCGCUAUACUGCAUCCCUAAUAUCGGAUAGGUUCUGGAAUAAAAAGGUUCAGAUUAAUUCAUCUGUUUUUGGAGCUUACGAGGUUAUAAAUAUUACCUAUCCAGGGCUGGGACCUGCACCACCAGCUAUGUCAUCUCUUACGUCAGGUCCUCCAGGAAAUGGAGAAUAUCCUAUAACCGCAGAUGUGCACCAUCAGAAGAAGAAAUUAGAUAGCUGGAUCAUCGUGGUAGUUGCAGGGUCCUCUCUGGUACUAAUCAUGGGAUGCAUUGCGCUUAUUAUUUUAAUAGUAAAAUUGAAGAGAUUUAAGCGCUUUCAUGAAGCUGGGAACCCUGUGAUCACCCCGUCAGUUAAAAGAAGACAUGGUGGCAGAUCUCAGUCAACUAGCUUGGUGAGCUCUGCCUCAGCGUCAAUGCUCUCAACAGUGGCCACUUGUGCCGCAUCGGUGAAGACAUUUUCGCUUGCACAGCUUGAAAAGGCUACUGAUGGUUUUAGUUCAAGAAGAGUUUUGGGUCAAGGUGGGUUUGGACGUGUUUAUCACGGGACCAUGGAUGAUGGAAACGAGAUCGCUGUUAAAAUGCUCACAAGAGAGGACAGGAGUGGUGACCGUGAGUUCAUCGCGGAGGUGGAAAUGCUCAGUCGAUUGCACCAUCGUAAUCUCGUCAAAUUGAUUGGCAUUUGCACUGAACGUGGAAAAAGGUGUCUUGUUUACGAGCUUAUACGCAACGGAAGUGUGGAAUCCCAUCUUCAUGGUGCUGACAAGGAUAAGGGCAUGCUGAACUGGGAUGUCAGGAUGAAAAUUGCUUUGGGUGCUGCUAGAGGCCUGGCGUACCUACAUGAAGAUUCAAACCCACAUGUCAUACACCGCGACUUCAAAGGUAGCAAUAUAUUGCUGGAGGAUGAUUUCACUCCCAAGGUUACUGAUUUUGGUUUAGCAAGGGAAGCAACCAAUGGAAUCAAUCCCAUUUCCACAAGGGUAAUGGGGACUUUCGGGUAUGUUGCUCCAGAGUAUGCCAUGACAGGGCAUCUUCUUGUCAAGAGCGAUGUCUACAGUUAUGGGGUUGUCUUGCUGGAGCUUUUAUCAGGAAGGAAGCCCGUAGGCAUGUCGGACAACAUGGAUCCUGAGAACCUUGUGACUUGGGCUCGUCCUCUUCUAGGCAAUAGAGAGGGCUUGGAGAGGCUGAUCGACCCUUCUCUGAACGGCAACUACAAUUUCGACAACGUAGCCAAAGUGGCGUCCAUCGCUUCGGUGUGCGUUCACAGCGAUCCGUCACAGAGGCCAUUCAUGGGUGAAGUAGUCCAGGCACUGAAGCUGAUUUACAAUGACGCAGAGGAGGCCGUCGGUGAUUCCUACAGCCACAGGGAGUCAUCAUGUGACCCGGACGACGACCUCCCGGCGGGCUUCAUCUUUGACAGUGGUAGCGGUAGCUGGUGGAACAGCGGGGCCUCCGGGUGCCUGGACUACCGGAACCCCUCGCCAUUCAUAAACAUGGAGUACAGCUCCGGCCGAAUAGAAGCGAGGCAGGAGCGCGAAGGUGACCCUUACUCAGUAGUGUCGACGGGCGGCCGUGUACAAAAACCAGCACCCCAGAGUAGAUCAGCCCCUCUGCAAAUCAGGAAGCUCUCCCCGUCUCACUGGUCAAGAGGCAGCUUCAGCGAGCAUGGGCGGCGGCCUCGCCAUUGA
This 2223-nucleotide ribosomal RNA is filed under the name Triticum aestivum (bread wheat). RNAcentral's name for it is "partial small subunit ribosomal RNA". Lineage: Eukaryota; Viridiplantae; Streptophyta; Magnoliopsida; Poales; Poaceae. The record is from RNAcentral.